RNAcentral lists this ribosomal RNA (254 nucleotides) under uncultured bacterium. RNAcentral describes it as "partial 16S ribosomal RNA". It matches the Rfam family "Bacterial small subunit ribosomal RNA", at positions 524 to 776 of the family's 1533-position model. The record is from RNAcentral.
UACAGAGGUCUCAAGCGUUGUUCGGAUUCAUUGGGCGUAAAGGGUGUGUAGGUGGCGCCGUAAGUCGGCCGCUGAAAUCCCCCGGCUCAACCGGGGAACGGGCGCCGAUACGACCGGCCUGGAGCGAGGUAGGGGGCGCCGGAACUCACGGUGGAGCGGUGAAAUGCGUUGAGAUCGUGAGGAACGCCCGUGGCGAAAGCGGGCGCCUGGACCUCCGCUGACGCUGAGACGCGAAAGCCAGGGGAGCGAACGGG